GGGGAUUUAGCUCAGCGGCAUAAGCGCCUGCCUUGCAAGCAGGCAGUCAUAGUUCAAUCCCUG
Molecule: transfer RNA, 63 nt
Organism: Cavia porcellus (domestic guinea pig)
Lineage: Eukaryota; Metazoa; Chordata; Mammalia; Rodentia; Caviidae
Rfam family: tRNA
About the family: Transfer RNA (tRNA) molecules are approximately 80 nucleotides in length.
Source: Rfam